RNAcentral lists this ribosomal RNA (406 nucleotides) under uncultured bacterium. RNAcentral describes it as "partial 16S ribosomal RNA". It matches the Rfam family "Bacterial small subunit ribosomal RNA", at positions 30 to 526 of the family's 1533-position model. The record is from RNAcentral.
AUUGAACGCUGGCGGCAGGCCUAACACAUGCAAGUCGAGCGAGCGGCGGACGGGUGAGUAAUGGCUGGGAAACUGCCUGAUGGAGGGGGGUAACUACUGGAAACGGUAGCUAAUACCGCAUCCCAUCAGCUGUGCCCAGAUGUGAUUAGCUAGUAGGUGGGGUAACGGCUAACCUAGGCGACGAUCCCUAGCUGGUCUGAGAGGAUGACCAGCCACACUGGAACUGAGACACGGUCCAGACUCCUACGGGAGGCAGCAGUGGGGAAUAUUGCACAAUGGGCGAAAGCCUGAUGCAGCCAUGCCGCGUGUGUGAAGAAGGCCUUCGGGUUGUAAAGCACUUUCAGUGGGGAGGCGUUACCCGCAGAAGAAGCACCGGCUAACUCCGUGCCAGCAGCCGCGGUAAUUC